RNAcentral lists this transfer RNA (71 nucleotides) under Fukomys damarensis (Damara mole-rat). It matches the Rfam family "tRNA". From Rfam's summary of the family: Transfer RNA (tRNA) molecules are approximately 80 nucleotides in length. Their secondary structure includes four short double-helical elements and three loops (D, anti-codon, and T loops). Further hydrogen bonds mediate the characteristic L-shaped molecular structure. tRNAs have two regions of fundamental functional importance: the anti-codon, which is responsible for specific mRNA codon recognition, and the 3' end, to which the tRNAs corresponding amino acid is attached (by aminoacyl-tRNA synthetases). tRNAs cope with the degeneracy of the genetic code in two manners: having more than one tRNA (with a specific anti-codon) for a particular amino acid; and 'wobble' base-pairing, i.e. permitting non-standard base-pairing at the 3rd anti-codon position. Lineage: Eukaryota; Metazoa; Chordata; Mammalia; Rodentia; Bathyergidae. The record is from Rfam by way of RNAcentral.
GGGGAUGUAGCUCAAUAUUCAGCACUUGCUUCCCAUGCAGGAAGCCCUGGGUUUGAUCCCCAGCACCACCA